RNAcentral lists this ribosomal RNA (791 nucleotides) under uncultured archaeon. Its description in RNAcentral is "bacterial SSU rRNA". It matches the Rfam family "Archaeal small subunit ribosomal RNA", at positions 85 to 879 of the family's 1478-position model. The record is from RNAcentral.
ACUGCUCAGUAACACGUGGAUAACCUGCCCAAGGGUCUGGGAUAACCCCGGGAAACUGGGGAUAAUACCGGAUGGAUCACUAGUGCUGGAAUGCUUGGUGGUCGAAAGGCAACGCCUUUGGAUGGGUCUGCGGCGGAUUAGGUUGACGCCGGUGUAACGUACCGGCGUGCCUGUAAUCCGUACGGGUUGUGGGAGCAAGAGCCCGGAGAUGGAUUCUGAGACACGAAUCCAGGCCCUACGGGGCGCAGCAGGCGCGAAAACUCUACAAUGCAGGCAACUGCGAUAGGGGGACAUCGAGUGGCAUCCACCUUGGGCGCCUGUCCAACCGUCUAAAAAACGGUUGUUAGCAAGGGCCGGGUAAGACCGGUGCCAGCCGCCGCGGUAAUACCGGCGGCUCGAGUGGUGGCCGAUAUUAUUGAGUCUAAAGGGUCCGUAGCCGGCUUUGCAAGUCCCCUGGGAAAUCCAGCGGCUUAACCGUUGGGCUUUCAUGGGAUACUACAUUGCUUGGGACUGGGAGAGGUAGGAGGUACUCGGGGGGUAGGGGUGAAAUCCUGUAAUCCUCCGGGGACCACCGGUGGCGAAGGCGUCCUACCAGAACAGGUCCGACGGUGAGGGACGAAAGCUAGGGGCACGAACCGGAUUAGAUACCCGGGUAGUCCUAGCCGUAAACGAUGCCCGCUAGGUGUCACGACGGUCGUGAAUCGUCGUGGUGCCGUAGGGAAGCCGCGAAGCGGGCCACUUGGGAAGUACGGCCGCAAGGCUGAAACUUAAAGGAAUUGGCGGGGGAGCAC